This 1385-nucleotide ribosomal RNA is filed under the name Campylobacter coli. RNAcentral describes it as "bacterial SSU rRNA". It matches the Rfam family "Bacterial small subunit ribosomal RNA". Lineage: Bacteria; Pseudomonadati; Campylobacterota; Epsilonproteobacteria; Campylobacterales; Campylobacteraceae. The record is from RNAcentral.
UGCCCUACACAAGAGGACAACAGUUGGAAACGACUGCUAAUACUCUAUACUCCUGCUUAACACAAGUUGAGUAGGGAAAGUUUUUCGGUGUAGGAUGAGACUAUAUAGUAUCAGCUAGUUGGUAAGGUAAUGGCUUACCAAGGCUAUGACGCUUAACUGGUCUGAGAGGAUGAUCAGUCACACUGGAACUGAGACACGGUCCAGACUCCUACGGGAGGCAGCAGUAGGGAAUAUUGCGCAAUGGGGGAAACCCUGACGCAGCAACGCCGCGUGGAGGAUGACACUUUUCGGAGCGUAAACUCCUUUUCUUAGGGAAGAAUUCUGACGGUACCUAAGGAAUAAGCACCGGCUAACUCCGUGCCAGCAGCCGCGGUAAUACGGAGGGUGCAAGCGUUACUCGGAAUCACUGGGCGUAAAGGGCGCGUAGGCGGAUUAUCAAGUCUCUUGUGAAAUCUAAUGGCUUAACCAUUAAACUGCUUGGGAAACUGAUAGUCUAGAGUGAGGGAGAGGCAGAUGGAAUUGGUGGUGUAGGGGUAAAAUCCGUAGAUAUCACCAAGAAUACCCAUUGCGAAGGCGAUCUGCUGGAACUCAACUGACGCUAAGGCGCGAAAGCGUGGGGAGCAAACAGGAUUAGAUACCCUGGUAGUCCACGCCCUAAACGAUGUACACUAGUUGUUGGGGUGCUAGUCAUCUCAGUAAUGCAGCUAACGCAUUAAGUGUACCGCCUGGGGAGUACGGUCGCAAGAUUAAAACUCAAAGGAAUAGACGGGGACCCGCACAAGCGGUGGAGCAUGUGGUUUAAUUCGAAGAUACGCGAAGAACCUUACCUGGGCUUGAUAUCCUAAGAACCUUUUAGAGAUAAGAGGGUGCUAGCUUGCUAGAACUUAGAGACAGGUGCUGCACGGCUGUCGUCAGCUCGUGUCGUGAGAUGUUGGGUUAAGUCCCGCAACGAGCGCAACCCACGUAUUUAGUUGCUAACGGUUCGGCCGAGCACUCUAAAUAGACUGCCUUCGUAAGGAGGAGGAAGGUGUGGACGACGUCAAGUCAUCAUGGCCCUUAUGCCCAGGGCGACACACGUGCUACAAUGGCAUAUACAAUGAGACGCAAUACCGCGAGGUGGAGCAAAUCUAUAAAAUAUGUCCCAGUUCGGAUUGUUCUCUGCAACUCGAGAGCAUGAAGCCGGAAUCGCUAGUAAUCGUAGAUCAGCCAUGCUACGGUGAAUACGUUCCCGGGUCUUGUACUCACCGCCCGUCACACCAUGGGAGUUGAUUUCACUCGAAGCCGGAAUACUAAACUAGUUACCGUCCACAGUGGAAUCAGCGACUGGGGUGAAGUCGUAACAAGGUAACCGUAGGAGAACCUGCGGUUGGAUCACCUCCUUUCUA